This is a long non-coding RNA of Armigeres subalbatus, 364 nucleotides long. RefSeq lists it as uncharacterized. The transcript is spliced from 4 exons. Lineage: Eukaryota; Metazoa; Arthropoda; Insecta; Diptera; Culicidae. The record is from RefSeq and is a predicted model, not a curated record.
GGAGCGCGGGUGAAAUCAUGCAAUAGGGUGCGCAACAAUAAAAUUAAACAUAAAAAUUGGACAUUGUAAUUGUUCAAUGUUUAUACCUAGAAAAGUAUAAAAGAUGGAAUGUCGAAUGUGAAUGUUCUCUUUUUGCUGUGGAUUCUUGUACGUAAUAGUAGUGCGCGCGUGUGUAAAUGUUAUUUAAUUUUGAGAUUGUUAUUUGUUUAGUACAAACAUGCAAGUUAGUACGGAUUAAAAUCACCACAGUCUAAAACGGUGAUUAUUAGUAUGAACACGAAUUAAAACCCAAGAAAAAGCAAGUGAACAAACAAAACAAACAAAAAUACCAACAAGAAAAAGGUCCAGCGGGCCUUUUUCUUUU